GGUUGAUCCUGCCAGUAGUCAUAUGCUUGUCUCAAAGAUUAAGCCAUGCAUGUCUAAGUAUAAACAUCUUUAUACAGUGAAACUGCGUACAGCUCAUUAUAUCAGUAAUUAUUUAUUUGAUGGUACCUUACUACAUGGAUAACCGUAGUAAUUCUAGAGCUAAUACAUGCGUAAAGUCCCGACUCUUGCGGGGAGGGAUGUAUUUAUUAGAUAAAAAAUCAAUGCAGGCUUUGCCUGGUUAUUUGGUGAUUCAUAGUAACUGUUCGAAUCGCAUGGCUUUAUGCUGGCGAUA
RNAcentral lists this ribosomal RNA (292 nucleotides) under uncultured eukaryote. Its description in RNAcentral is "partial 18S ribosomal RNA". It matches the Rfam family "Eukaryotic small subunit ribosomal RNA", at positions 6 to 292 of the family's 1831-position model. The record is from RNAcentral.